Molecule: non-coding RNA, 785 nt
Filed under: Laccaria bicolor S238N-H82
Lineage: Eukaryota; Fungi; Basidiomycota; Agaricomycetes; Agaricales; Hydnangiaceae
Description: Eukaryotic large subunit ribosomal RNA
Rfam family: Eukaryotic large subunit ribosomal RNA
Source: Rfam by way of RNAcentral
UGACCUCAAAUCAGGUAGGACUACCCGCUGAACUUAAGCAUAUCAAUAAGCGGAGGAAAAGAAACUAACAAGGAUUCCCCUAGUAACUGCGAGUGAAGCGGGAAAAGCUCAAAUUUAAAAUCUGGCAGUCUUUGGCUGUCCGAGUUGUAAUCUAGAGAAGUAUUAUCCGCGCUGGACCGUGUACAAGUCUCCUGGAAUGGAGCGUCAUAGAGGGUGAGAAUCCCGUCUUUGACACGGACUGCCAGGGCUUUGUGAUAUGCUCUCGAAGAGUCGAGUUGUUUGGGAAUGCAGCUCAAAAUGGGUGGUAAAUUCCAUCUAAAGCUAAAUAUUGGCGAGAGACCGAUAGCGAACAAGUACCGUGAGGGAAAGAUGAAAAGAACUUUGGAAAGAGAGUUAAACAGUACGUGAAAUUGCUGAAAGGGAAACGCUUGAAGUCAGUCGCGUUGGCCAGGGAUCAACCUUGCUUUUUUGCUUGGCUUACUUUCUGGUUGAUGGGUCAGCAUCAAUUUUGACUGGUGGAAAAAGUUCAAAGGAAUGUGGCAUCUUCGGAUGUGUUAUAGCCUUUGUUCACAUACAUUGGUUGGGAUUGAGGAACUCAGCACGCCGCAAGGCCGGGUUUUUAACCACGUACGUGCUUAGGAUGCUGGCAUAAUGGCUUUAAUCGACCCGUCUUGAAACACGGACCAAGGAGUCUAACAUGCCUGCGAGUAUUUGGGUGAAAAACCCNGAGUGCGUAAUGAAAGUGAAAGUUGAGAUCCCUGUCGUGGGGAGCAUGACGCCCGGAU